GUUUACAUAGCUUAAAAUAGAGCGUAGUAUUGAAGCUACUGAGGUAAAAUUAUUUUGUAGACA
Molecule: transfer RNA, 63 nt
Filed under: Rhynchothorax sp. JZ-2022
Lineage: Eukaryota; Metazoa; Arthropoda; Pycnogonida; Pantopoda; Tanystylidae
Description: tRNA-Phe
Source: RNAcentral